UACGGGGGGGGCAAGCGUUGUUCGGAAUUACUGGGCGUAAAGGGCUCGUAGGCGGCCAACUAAGUCAGACGUGAAAUCCCCAGGCUUAACCUGGGAACUGCGUCUGAUACUGGAUGGCUUGAAUUCGGGAGAGGGAUGCAGAAUUCCAGGUGUAGCGGUGAAAUGCGUAGAUAUCUGGAGGAAUACCGGUGGCGAAGGCGGCAUCCUGGACCGACAUUGACGCUGAACGGCGAAAGCUAGGGGAGCAAACGGG
RNAcentral lists this ribosomal RNA (253 nucleotides) under uncultured bacterium. Its description in RNAcentral is "partial 16S ribosomal RNA". It matches the Rfam family "Bacterial small subunit ribosomal RNA", at positions 524 to 776 of the family's 1533-position model. The record is from RNAcentral.